AACGUAGGAGACGAACGUUAUCCGGAGUUACUGGGCGUAAAGGGCGUGCAGGCGGUCUGAUAAGUUCGGCGUGAAAUAUUCCGGCUUAACCGGGAUAGGUCGUCGGAGACUGUCGGACUAGAGGGUGAUAGAGGCGUGUGGAAUUCCGGGUGUAGUGGUGAAAUGCGUAGAGAUCCGGAGGAACACCAGUGGCGAAGGCGGCUCACUGGCCCGAUACUGACGCUGAGGUGCGAAAGCGUGGGGAGCAAACAGG
Molecule: ribosomal RNA, 253 nt
Filed under: uncultured bacterium
Lineage: Bacteria
Description: partial 16S ribosomal RNA
Rfam family: Bacterial small subunit ribosomal RNA
Source: RNAcentral